GCCAGAGACUCUCAGAGUCACCAUCUUAUGAGAUCACAUAGGAUGUUCUCUCCUCCUACAAAGAGUGAUCGAUUUUUUAUUGACCACUCACAACCUCCAUGCACACUUCACCAUAUCCAAAAUAUCUCACACACAUCUCAAAGUGGUGUGCUAGGGAAUAAACCAAAGUAAGGAUCCAUGUAUACAAGGUACCAUGAUGAUCUCAGGUCAAAAGAUCACAUGCACUACUCCCACUAAAGAACCAUCUGUCGACAUGCUGUAAGGCUUCAUUAGAUAUUUUUUUUAGGGGUUAGUUUAGUGAACUCAUUCUCUAAUGAGUACCUACACCCAUGUAUUAGUAUCACCACAUAAGUGGUUGUGAGAUUAACCACCUUC
This 375-nucleotide long non-coding RNA is filed under the name Elaeis guineensis (African oil palm). Its description in RNAcentral is "long non-coding RNA (EGUI_LNC059597)". Lineage: Eukaryota; Viridiplantae; Streptophyta; Magnoliopsida; Arecales; Arecaceae. The record is from RNAcentral.